RNA transcript from Lagopus muta (rock ptarmigan), 4101 nucleotides. It is a transcript of the gene named microtubule associated protein tau, with no coding region annotated. The transcript is spliced from 17 exons. Lineage: Eukaryota; Metazoa; Chordata; Aves; Galliformes; Phasianidae. The record is from RefSeq and is a predicted model, not a curated record.
GCUCGGCGAAGGUUCCGGAGCUCGCGCGCGCCCCCUCCCCUCCCGACCCGCCCCCCGCCGCUGUCACUUCACCGUGCAGCUCCGGUGCGGACAGCAAAACAGCGGUAACUUGGCUGCAAGAUGGCAGAACCACACCAGGAUGUCACCGUGGUGGAGGACCAGGAGAGGCAGCACGUCCCCUCAGGCUAUCCCCUUCAGAUUCCAGUCGAUGACGGAUCGGAUGAGCCUGUUUCUGAAACCUCUGACGCUAAGAGCACCCCAACUACAGAAGAUGCCACAGCACCUUUAGUAGAGGAAGGAGACCAAGAGGAUCAGCACGGGGAGAUCCCAGAAGGAACCACAGCUGAAGAGGCGGGCAUAGGAGCCACCCCCAGCCUGGAGGACCACGCUGCAGGAGAUGCUGCUCAAGCUCCAGGGGAGCCCAGCUCUCCAAAGCUGCAGCCUGGCCUUAAGGAGCACGUGGGAGGUGUGAUGAAAAGGGGCAGCCAGCCCAUGGAGCAGCUGGCUGCUGUUCCUCAGGAGCCUCUUCUGCAACAAGAAACAAAGCCUGCAGCCACAGCUCCCACCAGGAUCGAGGUCACUAUCCCGAUACCCCUGGAUAUGUACCAAGAUGUCCGAGCAGCUGAGGACAGCAGUGAGCUGUGGGAUCGUGGGGGCAGAGAAGGCAUUGGUGUGGAUUCAGCAAUGGGAGAAGAGCUGGGUGAUGUGUGCACCGUGGGGCUGGCAGGAGCAGGUGGCACUGAUGCCUCCCGUACUGCAGCUGGGCCAGCUCCGUUAUAUGCUGGAGCCCCGCUAAAAGAAGAUGCCAGCAGAUGGGAAAGAGAUGAGGAUGAAGCUUCUCGGCAGGGUUUGCUUGGCCUGGUGGGACAGCGUGUUCCUCCAGGACCCGAAGCAACCAAAGAAGCUCUUGAAGAAGAAAGCAAGUCCAGAGAUGUCCUGAGAGACACAGAGAGAGAGGCGCUCCUUGUUGAAUGUGAAGCACGGAAAGCAGAAGACCAAGAGGAGAGACAGCAGUUACAGGGGGAAGAGUCAUACGCAGAUGUCACCUCGUCUGAGCCUUCUGAGACCCAAACAGAAGGGGCAGGAGGGGAUGCUGGACCCUUAAAGGAAGCAGCCAAACCCCCCGUUGGGUUAAAGGAUGGCAGGGAAGACAGAGAUGCUGCCGUGGAAGAGGCAGAGCUGGGUGCAGAAGGGUGCAGGACGCCCAAGAAGAAGCCUGGUGCUGCAGAUAAAGCAGUCAGUCGAGUUCCUCUCCUGAAAGCUCGUAUUGAUAGCAAAGACAAGGAAGGGGCUGAAACUGAUGAAAAGAAACCGAAGAAAUCCUCACCUUCCACUGCCAAACCCCCAAGCGAUAGAGCCUCCAUCCCUCCCCACCGACACACCUCCUCUAGCACAGCCCCUCCGAAAUCUCCCUCCAGCCCUGCAUCCACCUCUAAACGAGUCACACCCCGACCUGCCAGUACAGGAACGCAUGAAACAAAGGCCAAGGGCCAGGAGAUGAGGGGUGGCACCAAGCCGGCCACGCCGCGCUCUGCAGCCGGGCAGGCACAGAGGAACGCCAGCAACGCCACCCGCAUCCCAGCCAAAACCCCCACGGCCCCCAAGACCCCUCCUGGCUCUGGCAGAAAGGAGCAGAAAAAGCCACCCCCUGCAGCAGCGAAGUCUGAGAAAGGUGAGCAGCCCAAGUCUGGAGACAGAAGCGGUUACAGCAGUCCCGGCUCCCCCGGGACUCCAGGCAGCCGUUCCCGCACUCCUUCUCUGCCCACCCCACCAGCCAGGGAGCCCAAGAAGGUGGCUGUGGUUCGCACGCCUCCCAAAUCGCCCGCGUCUGCCAAGAGCCGCGUGCAGCCCUCGGCGGCUCCGAUGCCCGACCUGAAAAACGUCAAAUCCAAAAUCGGCUCCACCGAAAACCUGAAGCACCAACCUGGAGGUGGCAAGGUGCAGAUUAUUAAUAAGAAGCUGGACUUUAGCAGCGUUCAAUCCAAGUGUGGCUCAAAGGAUAAUAUCAAACACAUCCCAGGAGGAGGCAGUGUGCAGAUUGUUAAUCAGAAGUUGGACUUUAGCAGCGUUCAAUCCAGGUGUGGCUCAAAGGAUAAUAUCAAACACAUCCCGGGAGGAGGCAGUGUUCAAAUCGUUUACAAGCCGGUGGACCUGAGCCACGUCACGUCCAAAUGCGGUUCCCUGGGCAACAUCCAUCACAAACCAGGUGGUGGCCAAGUGGAGGUGAAAUCUGAGAAACUGGACUUCAAAGAUAAGGUGCAAUCUAAAAUCGGGUCCUUAGAUAACAUCAGCCACGUUCCUGGAGGAGGAAAUAAAAAGAUCGAGACUCAUAAGCUGACUUUCCGUGAGAACGCCAAAGCCAAGACCGACCACGGCGCCGAAAUCGUCUACAAAUCCCCCACCAUCUCUGGAGACGCCUCUCCGCGCCGCCUCAGCAACGUCUCCUCCACCGGCAGCAUCAACAUGGUGGACUCCCCCCAGCUCGCCACGUUAGCCGACGAAGUGUCCGCCUCGCUGGCCAAGCAGGGCUUGUGAUGGGGCACAGCAUCACCGUGGGAGAGAGAGAGAGAGAAGAUGAGGGGGGAAAAAUACAAACAAAGCAAAAAAGAAAAGAAAAAAAACCAAGAAACACGAAUAAUAAUAAUCUGGCCUUCUUCCUCUGUUCCUUUUACAGCUGCUUCCCCAUCCCCUACUCGGUUAAUGAUUUAACCUGCUUUUACUGUUCAUUCAGCUCUAGCUCCAGGACUUCACAAUCAGUGACACUUUGAGAGCCGAGAUGUUCGAAGCAAACUAAGAACCGCCAGGCAUCCCCGGCAGGGCAGCAGGGGGUUCCCCUCCGUGGCUGUGCCCAGCGGAUGAUUGAUCAAUUCGAGGCUUUUCCCCCUUUUCCCUCGGCAGCCCCUCGUGUCGUAGAGUAGAUUUGUCUGUAUAUGCUUGGACCGUGCCAGGGUGGUUGUUUUCAUAAACGAGCAUGUGUUUAAUGAUGCUGUCAGUGAGUGGUUGGCGCUGCACCGCAUGUCGGGGACGGCGCCCGGAGGUGGGCGCAGCGGUAACACCUGGGGGUUGCGAUGGCUUUUUUGUUGUUUUGUUUUGUUUUUCCUUCCUUUGCAAGGUCAGCUCAGAGCUCACAGAAGCGGCAGCUCCGCGGCUCUGCUGCGCUCGUGUGGUGGCAGCAGGAGGAGGAGGAGGAGGAGAGGAGAGGAAGGUGCAAUGGCGGUGGUGGUGGUGGCCAUCCCAGCGCUGAGCGCGGCGCCCUCCUGGGCUGCAGCACCCCAUGGCACCCCAUAGCACCCCAUGGCACCCUAUGGCACCCCAUGGCACCCUGUGGCACCUCAUAGUACCCCAUGGCACCCCAUGGCACCCUAUGGUACCCCAUGGCAGCCCAUAGCACCCCAUGGCACCCUAUGGCACCCCAUGGCAGCCCAUAGCACCCCAUGGCACCCUAUGGUACCCCAUAGCACCCCAUGGCACCCUAUGGUACCCCAUGGCAGCCCAUGGCACUGUGUGCCUCCCCUGCCCCCAGCACCACGCAGAGCCCCUUUGUUCCUUCACUGUCGUUGUUCCCGUGCCAAUGGGGGUUUGGGGCAGUGCUGCACCCAUCCCCUUCUCCCCUCCUUCCCCCACCCCGUGCCCACUCCUUCACCAACCAAAGAGGCUGAGGUGCUGCUGGAGCAGCUCCGCACCGCCCUCCCCCCCCCUGCACCCCUAUGAACGGCUGCUGGGAGGGGAGGGGGCAUCCAUAGGGCUGCACUGAGGGCUGUGAGCUCCCAGGAGGGGCACUGGGGUGCUGGGGAUGCUCAGGCCGAGGUGCCGGAUGGAGCCAUCACCCCCCUUUCCUGGGUGCUGCUGGAGCCACAUUGGGACCUGGGUUGGGACGGGGGGCUGCGUGGCGUUGGGCUGAGGGCUGGGGGCUCCCAUUCGUGGGGCGCAGCACAGAGGGGUGACAGCAGUGCUGGAACACGAGCAGCCAGAGCCCCCGCAGCCCCCACCGCCCUCAGCUGGGGGGGGAUCCCACAGCCCCCCACCUUCCCCUCUUUCCCUCCCCACAUCCGAUGGGGCCGAUGAGGGUCCAAACCACAGCGGGAGCCUCAGGGUGGGGAG